This 731-nucleotide ribosomal RNA is filed under the name embryophyte environmental sample. RNAcentral describes it as "eukaryotic LSU rRNA". The stretch from base 247 to 399 matches the Rfam family "5.8S ribosomal RNA". The record is from RNAcentral. Lineage: Eukaryota; Viridiplantae; Streptophyta.
GAAGGAUCAUUGCACACACAAAGUUGCAGCAAACCCCUUUGCGAAUUUCAUGAUUGUCCCCCCUUUUGGGGGGCUGGGACGGUUUCUUCGGGAACAAUCUCGGCCUCCCAAAACACCCGAGUGGUUCCGGCCGCUUGGGUGCUAUCCAACCGAUUGCACUCUGCAUCAACACCUCCAAUUCGACUGAGUAUAAAAACCGGGACUCUCUAUCUAGAAGGGGGUCCCCGAGUUGUAAUAAACAAAAACAACUCUCAGCAACGGAUAUCUUGGCUCUUGCAACGAUGAAGAACGCAGCGAAAUGCGAUACGUAGUGUGAAUUGCAGAAUUCCGCGAAUCAUCGAGUCUUUGAACGCAAGUUGCGCCCGAGGCUUGACCGAGGGCAUUUCUGCCAGAGCGUCACCGCGACACCCACCGAACCACUCCAAUCUUUGGAGUGUGUUCGAGUGAAAGUGGCCAUCCGAAUGGGGCCGCCGUCCCCUCGUGGGCCGGCCGGCAGAUUGGGUUGGCUGAAAUGGAGGAGGAUUUGGCCGCCGUGGUGACACAGCCCGCGAUCAGGUGAUCCAGGUGUUCAAAAACCCGGAACUCAAACGUGCGCGUCGGCUGUGGCACCCAGUUGGCCGGGACUCAAAAGCAGGUCCCUACCGACACUCCGGCCUAAAAAACCGGACGCUGGAGGCAGGAGAAAACUCGUCACGCAUCAGACCUCUGAUCAGAAAAGACUACCCGCUGAG